RNAcentral lists this transfer RNA (77 nucleotides) under Actinobacteria bacterium RBG_19FT_COMBO_70_19. Its description in RNAcentral is "tRNA-Pro". It matches the Rfam family "tRNA". From Rfam's summary of the family: Transfer RNA (tRNA) molecules are approximately 80 nucleotides in length. Their secondary structure includes four short double-helical elements and three loops (D, anti-codon, and T loops). Lineage: Bacteria; Bacillati; Actinomycetota. The record is from RNAcentral.
CGGGACGUAGCGCAGUUUGGUAGCGCGCAGCGUUCGGGACGCUGAGGUCGCGGGUUCAAAUCCCGCCGUCCCGACCG